UGACAGUGUGUUGUUCAUAACAGCGUGUGGGAGUCUUUUGUCAGGGUGGAGGUGUGCGUUCACUCCUGUCUUCUAAAGAAAGUCUUCUCUACAGCGAGAGAGAGAGAGAGAUUCAAACCGACAGGAGAGGCAGCUCUGAAAGCAAAGGAUCUCAUCCAUCUGUCCUCUCAAACCCUUGUACUCCACUUCGUCAAACGAGCCAGAAGCAUCAUGGGAAGAGGCGCGAGCGAGGAGUGGGAUGAAAAGCCCCACGACACGAGGCAAACUCAGCCCAAGAGAGGAGAAGAGUCGGACUCAGACAGAAACGGCUCCUCGGGGAGGAGUUGUCCCAAGUGCUGCCUGCGGACGAGGGACUGUCUGAUGAGCGCCGAGUGUGGCCGAGCGCUUCAGAUCUCCAGCGUCGUCGCCAUGUGUGGAAUGUGCCUCCGCAUGUUCGUGUAACCUGAUCCAGAACAUCAGGCGUUUCCAGGAUGUUCUCUGCACCUCCUGGUGACUCUCUUGAGACCGACGCGCCUCAUUUCAUCUACGUUAAAAACAAAUCUACGAUCUUUGUAUUCAACAUGAACAAAUCUGUAAUGUGUCACUGUCACUGUGACCUGCAUGAAGCCUUUGUGAUUAAUAAUUUCUUAUUGGGGUCAUGGUUUGGUUUGUAGUCGGUUUCAAGGACUUGGUUCUGGUUCUGUUGGACUCUAGCAGUCCCUCCAGUGAGCAGAACCUAGUGAGGUGCCGUCUCUUCAGUAUAAACUCAUCAUGACUUCCUGCUCACACGUGGUGCCCUCAAACAUCCCGAGUCCACCACUGUGGUUUGUUUUCAACCAACAAUAAUCAAAGUAAUAUUUUGUUCCACCUGGUUCAACCACAGAUAUUUGGCACAGCACGUCCUGCACUAAACUUGAUGGAAAUGUUAAUUCCCUCUGUGAAGUCUUUGGUCUGCGUUCACAUCCAGAAGCUGCUUUAAAAACUGCGAGGAGAAACUGUUACACUUCUCUUGUUGUUGUUGUUUGUCUGUCCUCGUCUCUCUGAAACUUUCCCACACAGCUGAUUGGAUAGAAAGACGGUCGGUGUCUUCUUCAUCUGUUUUAUUGUUUAUUAUAUUGUUUAGUAUUGGAUACUUGGAUACCAAAACUGGAUUUGAGUUUGGAUCAGAAACGUUAUAUGUUCUCUAUUCUUUAUACGUCUGCUCCUGUUCCAUCACAUCUCCACUGCUCUUGAUGCGUCAGUACUUAGUCAAACCAUAUGUUAUAUAUUUAUAGUUGAGAUGUUUUGAAUGCUGUAAUAUAACUGUAAUAUUAUGAUUUGUAGUAAUACUUGUGAUUUACGGAUGUGCAGAGGAAGAACUUCUUCCUCUCCUGAAACACGAGCGAGAUGACCAGAUGGUA
Acanthopagrus latus (yellowfin seabream) is the source of this 1379-nucleotide long non-coding RNA. RefSeq lists it as uncharacterized. The transcript is spliced from 3 exons. NCBI's taxonomy places the organism in Eukaryota, Metazoa, Chordata, Actinopteri, Spariformes, Sparidae. The record is from RefSeq and is a predicted model, not a curated record.